Molecule: transfer RNA, 71 nt
Filed under: Buceros rhinoceros silvestris
Lineage: Eukaryota; Metazoa; Chordata; Aves; Bucerotiformes; Bucerotidae
Rfam family: tRNA
About the family: Transfer RNA (tRNA) molecules are approximately 80 nucleotides in length.
Source: Rfam by way of RNAcentral
CAGGAGAUAGUUUAACGUAAAAAUGCCAGCUUUGGGAGCUGGCGAUAGGGAUUUGAGUCCUCUUUUUCUGA